GAUGAACGCUGGCGGCGUGCCUAAUACAUGCAAGUCGAGCGAACAGACGAGGAGCUUGCUCCUCUGACGUUAGCGGCGGACGGGUGAGUAACACGUGGAUAACCUACCUAUCAGACUGGGAUAACUUCGGGAAACCGGAGCUAAUACCGGAUAAUAUAUUGAACCGCAUGGUUCAAUAGUGAAAGACGGUUUUGCUGUCACUUCUAGAUGGAUCCGCGCCGAAUGAGCUGGUUGGUAAGGUAACGGCUUACCAAGGCGACGAUGCGUAGCCGACCGGAGAGGGUGAUCGGCCACACUGGAACUGAGACACGGUCCAGACUCCUACGGGAGGCAGCAGUAGGGAAUCGUCCGCAAUGGGCGAAAGCCUGACGGAGCAACGCCGCGUGAGUGAUGAAGGUCUUCGGAUCGUAAAACUCUGUUAUUAGGGAAGAACAAAUGUGUAAGUAACUAUGCACGUCUUGACGGUACCUAAUCAGAAAGCCACGGCUAACUACGUG
RNAcentral lists this ribosomal RNA (497 nucleotides) under uncultured bacterium. RNAcentral describes it as "partial 16S ribosomal RNA". It matches the Rfam family "Bacterial small subunit ribosomal RNA", at positions 28 to 507 of the family's 1533-position model. The record is from RNAcentral.